GGAGAGAGAGAGUGUGAGCGAUUCUCCGAGCUGCUUUUUCUAGGAAAAGCGGUGUAGUUUUAGUUUAGCCUUCCAAGUCUUCUUCUUCUUCUUCUACUCGAAAAGAGAGAGAGGGAGAGAGAGAGAGAGAGAGAAAUGGAGAUGCCAGAUGUGGUUGGGGUUCGAUGCCAGCGAAUUGGGUGCAACGCCACCUUCUCCGAGGACAACAACCCCGAAGGUUCUUGUCAAUACCAUGAUUCGGGAGUAAGUAUUUCUCAUUUCAUUUUUUUUUUGGGAAAAUGUUCUUUGUUUUCUGUUUCUUUACAAUUAAGUAGCUUCAUUGUUUUCUCUUUUUAUUAUUAUUUUUUCCCUUAAAUCCAGCCUAUAUUUCAUGAUGGAAUGAAAGAGUGGAGUUGUUGCAAGAAAAGAAGUCAUGAUUUCAGCUUAUUUUUGGAGAUUCCAGGAUGUAAGACAGGCAAGCACACUACCGAGAAGCCAGUGUUGCGAACUCCUACUCCAAAGAAUCCAGUUUCUGCUCCCUCUUCAAAUUCUACAACAAAUACAUCUUCAAAAGAGACUUGCUCUAGGUGCCGGCAGGGUUUCUUUUGCUCUGAUCAUGGUUCACAAGCUAAAGAGAUUAAUCCGAAGCCUUUAAAUGUGGACACAACUGCACCUACCGAUAUUAAUACAAAUUUUGAGAGCUCUCCUGCUCCAGCAAAGAAGGUAGUUGGUAUAAAUGAGCCCCAGACAUGCAGAAAUAAGGGAUGUGGUAAGACUUUCAAGGAAAAGGAUAAUCACGAGACUGCAUGCAGUUUCCAUCCUGGACCUGCUGUUUUCCAUGACCGUAUGAGAGGGUGGAAGUGCUGUGACAUUCAUGUGAAGGAAUUUGAUGAGUUCAUGAGCAUUCCGCCUUGCACCCAGGGAUGGCAUAAUGCUGAUCCAUCAUCCUAAACAAGCAGAGAGCUGCAAGGAUGAGGUGGUUUCCAUUGUGACUUCUUUCCUCCCUUAAAAGUUGUUUUUCAGGUUGAUACUCUUCUCUAUGUUGUCUUUAUCUUGGAAUGGACUUCUUUUGUCACCAAGCAUUUUCGUUGUUAUUGACCAAAUAAUUGGGGAGUCACUUGGUGGGCAAAUGCUGUUUCCUCACCUCAUAAUUUUUUGGAUGCCCUUAUUAAGGAAGCACUUGAACCUAUGGGAAUAGAAUGUGGCAUCGCAUUAGAAGGUCUGACUAAGAUUUCCGUUAGAAAAAUCAAGGAAAAUUGUAAUGGAAGGAUGUGAUUGAAAAAUAAAUAAAUCCUAAGACUCUUAUUAUUCGAAAUCAAGGAAACUUUUU
Non-coding RNA from Corylus avellana, 1309 nucleotides. NCBI's taxonomy places the organism in Eukaryota, Viridiplantae, Streptophyta, Magnoliopsida, Fagales, Betulaceae. The record is from RefSeq and is a predicted model, not a curated record.